UGGGGAAUAUUGCACAAUGGGGGAAACCCUGAUGCAGCGACGCCGCGUGAGUGAAGAAGUAUUUCGGUAUGUAAAGCUCUAUCAGCAGGGAAGAAAAUGACGGUACCUGACUAAGAAGCCCCAGCUAACUACGUGCC
This 137-nucleotide ribosomal RNA is filed under the name uncultured bacterium. RNAcentral's name for it is "partial 16S ribosomal RNA". It matches the Rfam family "Bacterial small subunit ribosomal RNA", at positions 355 to 509 of the family's 1533-position model. The record is from RNAcentral.